Molecule: ribosomal RNA, 253 nt
Filed under: uncultured bacterium
Lineage: Bacteria
Also listed under: 2 other names
Description: partial 16S ribosomal RNA
Rfam family: Bacterial small subunit ribosomal RNA
Source: RNAcentral
UACAUAGGGUGCAAGCGUUGUCCGGAAUUAUUGGGCGUAAAGAGCUCGUAGGUGGUUCGUAACGUCGGGUGUGAAAAUCUGGGGCUCAACCCCAGACCUGCAUUCGAUACGGGCGAACUAGAGUGUGGUAGGGGAGACUGGAAUUCCUGGUGUAGCGGUGGAAUGCGCAGAUAUCAGGAGGAACACCAAUGGCGAAGGCAGGUCUCUGGGCCAUUACUGACACUGAGGAGCGAAAGCGUGGGGAGCGAACAGG